Molecule: ribosomal RNA, 254 nt
Filed under: uncultured bacterium
Lineage: Bacteria
Description: partial 16S ribosomal RNA
Rfam family: Bacterial small subunit ribosomal RNA
Source: RNAcentral
UACGUAGGCAGCGAGCGUUGUUCGGAGUUACUGGGCGUAAAGGGUGUGUAGGCGGUUCUUUUAAGUUUGGUGUGAAAUCUCCCGGCUCAACCGGGAGGGUGCGCCGAAUACUGAGGGACUAGAGUACGGGAGAGGAAAGUGGAAUUCCUGGUGUAGCGGUGAAAUGCGUAGAUAUCAGGAGGAACACCGGUGGUGUAGACGGCUUUCUGGACCGUAACUGACGCUGAGACACGAAAGCGUGGGUAGCAAACAGG